This 717-nucleotide ribosomal RNA is filed under the name uncultured archaeon. RNAcentral's name for it is "bacterial SSU rRNA". It matches the Rfam family "Archaeal small subunit ribosomal RNA", at positions 734 to 1432 of the family's 1478-position model. The record is from RNAcentral.
CCCCGGCUUAGCCCCAAGCUGUAAAACGAUGGCAGACUCGGUGAUGGGUUGGGCUUUUGCGCCAACCCAGGAGCCGCAGGAAAACCGUUAAGUCUGGCCCCCUNGGGGAGUACGGUCGCAAGGCCUGAAACUUAAAGGAAUUGGCGGGGGAGCACCACAAGGGGUGGAAGCCUGCGGUUCAAUUGGAGUCAACGCCGGGAAUCUUACCCGGGGGCGACAGCAGUGUGAAGGUCAAGCUGAAGACUUUACCAGACAAGCUGAGAGGAGGUGGCAUGAACCGUCCGCCAGCUCGUGCCGUGAGGUGUCCUGUUACAGUCAGGUAACGAGCAAGAUCCCUGCCUCUAGUUGCUACCACCGUUCUCAGGAACGGAGGGGCUAAUUAGAGGGACCGCCGCCGCUAAGGCGGAGGAAGGAGGGGGCUACGGCAGGUCAGUAUGCCCCGAAACCCUCGGGCCACACGCGGGCUGCAAUGGUAAGGACAGCGGGUUCCGAUCCCGAAAGGGGGAGGCAAUCCUACAAACCUUACCUCAGUUAUGAUUGAGGCCUGAAACUCGCCCUCAUGAAUAUGGAAUCCCUAGUAACCGCGUGUCAUCAUCGCGCGGUGAAUACGUACCCUGCUCCUUGCACACACCGCCCGUCGCUUCACCGAAGCUGGUUACUUGGCGAGGUGGCGCCUAAUUGGCGCUAUCGAACCUGGGGGAAGCAACGGGGGAGAAU